UACGUAGGGUGCAAGCGUUAAUCGGAAUUACUGGGCGUAAAGCGUGCGCAGGCGGUUAUGCAAGACAGAUGUGAAAUCCCCGGGCUUAACCUGGGAACCGCAUUUGUGACUGCAUAGCUGGAGUACGGCAGAGGAGACUAGAAUUCCUGGUGUAGCAGUGAAAUGCGUAGAUAUCAGGAGGAAUACCGAUGGCGAAGGCAGGUCUCUGGGUCGAUACUGACGCUCAUGCACGAAAGCGUGGGGAGCAAACAGG
RNAcentral lists this ribosomal RNA (253 nucleotides) under uncultured bacterium. Its description in RNAcentral is "partial 16S ribosomal RNA". It matches the Rfam family "Bacterial small subunit ribosomal RNA", at positions 524 to 776 of the family's 1533-position model. The record is from RNAcentral.